CGCGGGUGGAGCAGCUCGGUAGCUCGCUGGGCUCAUAACCCAGAGGUCGCAGGUUCAAAUCCUGUCCCCGCAACCG
RNAcentral lists this transfer RNA (76 nucleotides) under Leifsonia xyli. RNAcentral describes it as "tRNA-Met". It matches the Rfam family "tRNA". Rfam says of the family: Transfer RNA (tRNA) molecules are approximately 80 nucleotides in length. The record is from RNAcentral. Lineage: Bacteria; Bacillati; Actinomycetota; Actinomycetes; Micrococcales; Microbacteriaceae.